Molecule: ribosomal RNA, 439 nt
Filed under: uncultured bacterium
Lineage: Bacteria
Description: partial 16S ribosomal RNA
Rfam family: Bacterial small subunit ribosomal RNA
Source: RNAcentral
CUACGGGUCGCACCAGUGGGGAAUAUUGCACAAUGGAGGAAACUCUGAUGCAGCAACGCCGCGUGGAGGAUGACACUUUUCGGAGCGUAAACUCCUUUUAUAUAGGAAGAAGAUGACGGUACUAUAUGAAUAAGCGCCGGCUAACUCCGUGCCAGCAGCCGCGGUAAUACGGAGGGCGCAAGCGUUACUCGGAAUCACUGGGCGUAAAGAGCGUGUAGGCGGAUUAAAAAGUCAGAAGUGAAAUCCUAUAGCUUAACUAUAGAACUGCUUCUGAAACUCUUAAUCUAGAAUAUGGGAGAGGUAGAUGGAAUUUCUGGUGUAGGGGUAAAAUCCGUAGAGAUCAGAAGGAAUACCGAUUGCGAAGGCGAUCUACUAGAACAUUAUUGACGCUGAGACGCGAAAGCGUGGGGAGCAAACAGGAUUAGAUACCCCCGUAGUC